GAUGAACGCUGGCGGCGUGCCUAAUACAUGCAAGUCGAGCGAACAGACGAGGAUCUUGCUCCUCUGACGUUAGCGGCGGACGGGUGAGUCACACGUGUAUAACCUACCUAUAAGACUGGUAUAACUUCGGGAAACCGGCGCUAAUACCGGAUAAUAUAUUGACCCGCAUGGUUCAAUAGUGAAAUACGGUUUUGCUGUCACUUAUAGAUGGAUCCCCGCCGCAUUAUCUAGUUGUUAAGGUAACGGCUUACCAAGGCAAGGAUGCGUAGACGACCGGAGAGACGGGUAGCCCACCUGAGAAGGGGACCGGGGACAAGACUACUGAGAGAGGGAGCAGAAGGGAAUCGGACGCAGUGGGCGAGAGCAUGACGGAGUAGCGGGAAGUGAGAGAUGAAGGUGUUCGGAGCGUAAAAAUCUGUUAUGAGGGAAGAACAAAUGUGUAAGUAACUAUGCACGGAUUGACGGUAACUAAUCAGAAAGCAACGGCUAACUACGUG
This 497-nucleotide ribosomal RNA is filed under the name uncultured bacterium. RNAcentral describes it as "partial 16S ribosomal RNA". It matches the Rfam family "Bacterial small subunit ribosomal RNA", at positions 28 to 507 of the family's 1533-position model. The record is from RNAcentral.